Molecule: long non-coding RNA, 1076 nt
Filed under: Rattus norvegicus (Norway rat)
Lineage: Eukaryota; Metazoa; Chordata; Mammalia; Rodentia; Muridae
Description: long non-coding RNA NONRATT006365
Source: RNAcentral
AAACUGCUCCUAGGCUUGCGGGAGCAGAACAGAUACUUGCCCUCCUGGCUGCUCCCAGUAUAUAAGUUGGUAGGGAGAACAUGACACCUUUCCACCUCAGGGCCCUCCUGGGUUUCAGUCACCUCCUUGUUUUGAGAACCUCUGCCACCAUGUUCUGUUUUCCAGGUGCAACACGUGGUGUCUCAGAACUGCGACGGGCUCCACCUGCGCAGUGGGCUGCCACGGACCGCCAUCUCUGAGCUCCAUGGGAAUAUGUAUAUUGAAGUGAGCAGUGCCCAGAGGACUCAGGGCCUGGGGGACAAGCAGAUGUCACUCACUGUGCCCUCUCUUCCUCAGGUCUGCACCUCCUGCAUCCCUAACAGAGAGUACGUCCGAGUGUUUGACGUGACGGAGCGUACCGCCCUUCACCGACACCUGACAGGCCGGACGUGCCACAAGUGUGGGACUCAGCUUCGGGACACCAUUGUGCACUUUGGGGAGAGGGGGACGCUAGGGCAGCCCCUGAACUGGGAGGCAGCGACUGAGGCCGCUAGCAAAGCAGACACAAUCCUGUGUUUAGGGUCCAGCUUGAAGGUAUGUGCUGCUGACAGUGCCAUGGAUGCACUGUGGAUUGAGCGUGUUACUGGCCCGCCUCCCCAGAGCUAUUAACACCAGCGGGCAGUAGACUGGCAUCUAAAGCAUCGUCCUCUACUGCGUGUGUCUGUCCACUCGUACAGGUACUGAAGAAGUACCCCCGUCUCUGGUGCAUGACGAAGCCCCCAAGCCGUCGGCCCAAACUCUACAUUGUGAACCUGCAGUGGACCCCGAAGGAUGACUGGGCUGCCCUGAAGCUUCAUGGGAAAUGUGAUGAUGUAAUGCGGCUCCUCAUGGACGAACUGGGCCUGGAGAUCCCUGUCUACAACCGGUGGCAGGACCCAAUCUUCUCCUUGGCAACUCCACUCCGUGCUGGCGAAGAAGGUAGCCACAGUAGGAAGUCACUGUGCAGGAGCAGAGAAGAGCCCCCACCCGGGGACCAGAGUGCCCCUCUUGCCUCAGCCACCCCCAUCCUAGGAGGCUGGUUCGGCAGGGGCUGUGCU